AGAGUUUGAUCCUGGCUCAGAACGAACGCUGGCGGCAGGCCUAACACAUGCAAGUCGAGCGCCCAGCAAUGGGAGCGGCAGACGGGUGAGUAACGCGUGGGAACCUUCCUGAUAGUACGGAAUAGCCCAGGGAAACUUGGAGUAAUACCGUAUACGCCCGUAAGGGGAAAGAUUUAUCGCUAUCAGAUGGGCCCGCGUAGGAUUAGCUAGUUGGUGAGGUAAUGGCUCACCAAGGCGACGAUCCUUAGCUGGUUUGAGAGAAUGACCAGCCACACUGGGACUGAGACACGGCCCAGACUCCUACGGGAGGCAGCAGUGGGGAAUCUUGGACAAUGGGCGCAAGCCUGAUCCAGCCAUGCCGCGUGAGUGACGAAGGUCUUCGGAUUGUAAAGCUCUUUUGCCAGGGACGAUAAUGACGGUACCUGGAGAAUAAGCCCCGGCUAACUUCGUGCCAGCAGCCGCGGUAAUACGAAGGGGGCUAGCGUUGUUCGGAAUUACUGGGCGUAAAGCGCACGUAGGCGGAUUUGUAAGUCAGGGGUGAAAUCCCGGGGC
RNAcentral lists this ribosomal RNA (552 nucleotides) under uncultured bacterium. Its description in RNAcentral is "bacterial SSU rRNA". It matches the Rfam family "Bacterial small subunit ribosomal RNA", at positions 8 to 608 of the family's 1533-position model. The record is from RNAcentral.